This 429-nucleotide ribosomal RNA is filed under the name Actinomycetes bacterium. Its description in RNAcentral is "Actinobacteria bacterium partial 16S ribosomal RNA". It matches the Rfam family "Bacterial small subunit ribosomal RNA", at positions 355 to 776 of the family's 1533-position model. The record is from RNAcentral. Lineage: Bacteria; Bacillati; Actinomycetota; Actinomycetes.
UAGGGAAUCUUCCGCAAUGGGCGAAAGCCUGACGGAGCAACGCCGCGUGAGUGAUGAAGGUCUUCGGAUCGUAAAACUCUGUUAUUAGGGAAGAACAAAUGUGUAAGUAACUAUGCACGUCUUGACGGUACCUAAUCAGAAAGCCACGGCUAACUACGUGCCAGCAGCCGCGGUAAUACGUAGGUGGCAAGCGUUAUCCGGAAUUAUUGGGCGUAAAGCGCGCGUAGGCGGUUUUUUAAGUCUGAUGUGAAAGCCCACGGCUCAACCGUGGAGGGUCAUUGGAAACUGGAAAACUUGAGUGCAGAAGAGGAAAGUGGAAUUCCAUGUGUAGCGGUGAAAUGCGCAGAGAUAUGGAGGAACACCAGUGGCGAAGGCGACUUUCUGGUCUAUAACUGACGCUGAUGUGCGAAAGCGUGGGGAUCAAACAGG